Molecule: ribosomal RNA, 292 nt
Filed under: uncultured bacterium
Lineage: Bacteria
Description: partial 16S ribosomal RNA
Rfam family: Bacterial small subunit ribosomal RNA
Source: RNAcentral
GUGCCAGCAGCCGCGGUAAGACAGGGGGCCCGAGCGUUAAUCGGAAUCACUGGGCUUAAAGGGUGCGCAGGCGGACCAGAAAGCAUCUUGUGAAAGCCCCCGGCUCAACCGGGGAAUUGCGGGGUGAACUCCUGGUCUUGAGGCAGGUAGGGGCAGACGGAACUGUCGGUGGAGCGGUGAAAUGCAUAGAUAUCGACAGGAACGCCAAUGGCGAAGGCAGUCUGCUGGGCCUGUCCUGACGCUCAGGCACGAAAGCGUGGGGAGCAAACAGGAUUAGAUACCCCCGUAGUCC